Molecule: long non-coding RNA, 5410 nt
Filed under: Malus domestica (apple)
Lineage: Eukaryota; Viridiplantae; Streptophyta; Magnoliopsida; Rosales; Rosaceae
Description: long non-coding RNA (MDOM_LNC003197)
Source: RNAcentral
GGCGAUGCUGUAUGGCACAGAAUGUUGGGCGGUGAAACAUCAACACGUACACAAAAUGGGUGUAGCGGAGAUGAGGAUGCUUCGUUGGAUGUGUGGGCACAUGAGAAAGGAUAAGAUUAGGAAUGAGGAUAUCCGGAGUAAAGUAGGAGUAGCCGAAAUUGAAGGAAAGAUGAGAGAAAAUCGGUUACGGUGGUUUGGACAUGUGCAAAGAAGGCCUACUGACGCUCCGAUUAGAAGAUGCGACUAUGGGACAGAGGUUCAGGGCCGAAGGGGUAGAGGAAGACCUAGGAAAACUUUGGAAGAGACUCUAAGAAAAGAGACUUAGAGUACUUGGAUCUAACGAAGGACAUGACACAGGAUCGAGCACAAUGGCGUUCUAAGAUUCAUAUAUAGCCGAUCCCACUCAGUGACUUGGAUUUUCCAAGUCUCCAACCAAGAAGUUUUCCUCACUCGGGAAAUUAAGGGAACACUACCCCAACCUACAUGCUCCACUCAGAAAGCUUCAACAUACAAGCUUCAACAAAAGAAAAAUUCAAAAGAACUUAGCGAAGAAGGCUUUGGUGUAUUUAACACAAUACGUUGAAAUGAAGGAAAGCUUAUUUAUUGAUAUCCCCGAUAAGCUACAAAUAUGUACAUAUACAUGAGUCAAAAUAAACACACAAGAGGGAGCCUUCACAAAGGUUGCUUAGGAGAAGUCUCAGCAGUCGGUAGAGCCCCAGAAAGAGAAGGCACCGGAGGGGGAUCAUUUGGAGCCUCAGUACUGGACAGAACCCUAGAAGGAGGAGGCAUCAGAGGUUGAUCAUUUGGAGCUUCAUUACGCGGUACAGCCCUAGAAGACGAAGGCAAUAAAUGCCUUUGGAACAAACCCACAAAUCUCUGAUGAUCAAGUAAAACCUGACCAUCAGUUUUCCUUCAUCUGGUCAAGCUUCCUCUUCAUGUUUGUAGCAUAGUCAUGUGCGAGCCGGUGCAACUGUUUAUUCUCAUGCUUGAGCCCUCUAAUCUCCUGUUUGAGACUCUCAUCACUUCAGCCGCCAAUGAUUCAACUUGGCGGGUUCGAGCAAAUAGGCGUUGGGCCAUAUUAGACACAGAAACCUGCACACUGAACACUGAGAGCCAGCGAAUCCUUUAACAGCUAACUCAUCAGACCGUUUGGAAAGUAGUAGUCUGUUAUCUUUGGGAGUGAGAAGGUUCCUGGCCACCACCGCAGCGGUCAUAUCAUUCUUCAUCACGGAAUCCCCAACGGUAAGAGGACCAGUUGGGGAGACGAAGGAUGGGCGCCAUAUGUUGUCUGGAGAAGGCGGGGCUGCCUCUUUCAACAAGGUUCAAGUCAAAACGACGGUCGGAGGGGCCAGACAUUUUUCAAAUGUGUUGAAGAGAGAAGAGGUCGGACAAAUCAAGAUCUUAGAAGUGCAAGAAUGAAGCUUCUACUGGUGGAGAUUCAAGUGUGCUUUGGAACUUAAUGCCAGCCUCUAUAAAAAUCUGCACUCGACGGAGCUUCAGAAAUCAAAGAGGCGCCUGCUCAGAAAUCGAAGAGGCGUUUGCUUUCUCAAAAGUUGGGCUGCUUAGAGAUCACGAGGGUUGAUCUCAGAAAUCGAAGAGCCGUUUGCUUUCUCAAAAGUUGGGCUGCUCAAAGACCACGAAGGCUGAUCUCAGAAAUCGAAGAGGCGCUCGCUUUCUCAAAAGCUGGGCUCCCCUAGAGACCACGAGGGCCGAUCUCAGAAAAUCGAAGAGGCACCUACUUUUCCAGCCUUGUCAGCACCUGUCACACGCACACUCAGCUUUGCGGAAAUUAUGGGCAUUCUGUCAAAGACUUCUGGGGAAGUAGAAAACACAUGAAUCUUACUGUUCAAUCACCCACUUCCCACACGCAACAAUAGCUCAUGGGUACCACAGAUAACUUUGCCAAAGUUCUCUGCCAAAGUUGAGCACGUGAAGCUUGCAGCUCCCACUACAUCGCUCUGACUGACCAAGAAGGGUAAAAGAAUAGCAAAGAAACAGCACUAACAAAGUUUAGACCCAUAAAUUUUUGAAGGUCUAGCUACCAUAUUAUUACCCACAAGGGUAAAGGAACAGUACCACUGCUGGAUAAUUGGAAAGUCCAUGUAUGUCAACCUCUGUGCUUCGUGGCAAGGUAGACUAGCAAACAUGCCCAACCUUUACUCACAUUCGAGAAAACACUCCCAAUAAGAUUGCUUGCUCCAAAAUCGAAGAGGCACCGUCCUCCGAAUCUAAAGAGCCAGACUCCCAACAUGACUACUUUCUUAAAAAUCGAAGAGAGGUAAAGGAACAGUACCAUUGCUGGAUAAUUGGAAAGUCCCUGUGUGUCAACCUCUGUGCUUCGUGGCAAGGUAGACUAGCAAACAUGCCCAACCUUUACUCACAUUCGAGAAAACACUCCCAACAAGAUUGCUUGCUCCAAAAUCGAAGAGGCACCGCCCUCCGAAUCUCGAGAGCCACUCUCCCAACAUGAUUACUUUCUCAAAAAUCGAAGAGACACUGCUCCCCGAAUCUCGAGAGCCAGACCCCCAGCAUGAUUGCUUUCUCAAAAAUCGGUGAGGCACCGUUCUCCGAAUCAAUCGAAGAGGCGCUCGCUUUCUCAAAAGCUGGGCUGCUCAGAGACCACGAGGGCCGAUCUCAGAAAUCGAAGAGGCACCUACUUUUCUAGCCUUGUCAGCACCUGUCACACGCACACUCAGCUUUGCAGAAAUUAUGGGCAUUUUGUCGAAGACUUCUGGUGAAGUAGAAAGCACAUGAAUCUUACUGUUCAAUCACCCACUUCCCACACGCAACAAUAACUCAUGGGUACCACAGAUCACUUUGCCAAAGUUCUCUGCCAAAGUUGAGCACGUGAAGCUUGCAGCUCCCACUACAUCGCUCUGACCAAGAAAGGUAAAAGAAUAGAAAAGAAACAGCACUAACAAAGUUUAGACACAUAAAUUUUGAAGGUCUAGCUACCAUAUUAUUACCCACAAGGGUAAAGGAACAGUACCACUGCUGGAUAAUUGGAAAGUCCCUGUGUGUCAACCUCUGUGCUUCGUGGCAAGGUAGACUAGCAAACAUGCCCAACCUUUACUCACAUUCGAGAAAACAGUCCCAACAAGAUUGCUUGCUCCAAAAUCGAAGAGGCACCGUCCUCUGAAUCUCGAGAGCCAGACUCCCAACAUGACUACUUUCUCAAAAUCGAAGAGAGGGUAAAGGAACAGUACCAUUGCUGGAUAAUUGGAAAGUCCCUGUGUGUCAACCUUUGUGCUUCGUGGCAAGGUAGACUAGCAAACAUGUCCAACCUUUACUCACAUUCGAGACAACACUCCCAACAAGAUUGCUUGCUCCAAAAUCGAAGAGGCACCGCCUUCCGAAUCUCGAGAGCCAGACUCCCAACAUGAUUACUUCCUCAAAAAAUCGAAGAGACACUGCUCUCCGAAUCUCGAGAGUCAGACCCCCAGCAUGAUUGCUUUCUUCAAAAAUCGAAGAGGCAUCGUUCUCCGAAUCUCGAGAGCCAGAUACCACAGACCACUUUUUCAAAGUGCUCUGACAGAGUUAAAACAUGUGAAACUGGCAGCUCCCACUACCGUGCUAUGACCAAGCAGGGUAAAGGAAUAGCAUUACUACUUGUUGUUAGGGAGACUCCUAUAUAUGUCGACCUCCAUCCCCAACGGACAGGCAGACCUGCAAAAAUGCUCAACCCUUCAUCAUAUCUGAGAGGGCACUCCCAAACAAAGCCUUUCGAAAUAUUCAGCUUUCUUUCCCCCUGAUAAUACCUCUGCAAACAAGCUAUACUAGAGCAAGAAUAUCUCAUAUCAUCAGGGUUAAAAGCAAGAGUAUCCCAUAUCAUGCUUUUUCCCUGUUUUUUCUUUUGGCCUUGUUUUUACCUGCAAGACAAGGAGAAAGAGAGCAAUCAGUCAGCACUUGGAAUCAAGCUUCCAGCCAGGAACUGACUGCCUGGAACCCCUUACCUGAUUACUUACCUGGCAUUGCUCUCGAGUACUCAUCUUCAUCAUCUUAUGUUUCCCAGGGAAGAUUCCGCAUCUGCUUGAGGAACAGAUAGGGCAAGUGCGAAGGAUACAAGGAAGCAUGUGGAGACAAGCGUAACAGCACACGUGCCGAUACAUCCAUUACUCUGUCAAAAGCAAAAGUAUCCCAUAUCAGCAGGGUGGAACGUACUCUAGAUUUGAUGGACUUGUUUUGACCCUCAAAUUCUUCAGUCAGCCUUAUACUCUGGAGGAAACCAGAAAAACCCUCCAGCUCAGUUCAAGAAUAAGCCUGUGGAAAGUUACUUCUUCAAAAGCAAAAGUAUCUCAUAUCAUCUUCUUCAUUUUUUCUUCUCUUUAUCCUUCAUGCUGCUGCAAGAUGGGAGAGAAGGUGAACAAUCAGUCGGAGCUUUGAUUGCUUACCUUGUCUGUCACCUCUUUCAGCAGACCCCUAGCUCGGCGACUUGGGGGACUCCUACUACAUGGUUUGUAUCGCGCUUGACCAAGCCUGAAACUACAAGUAAGCUUCAAGUGAAAUUGAUACAUUACCUUGUGCAUCUCCACCAGUUAAAGAUACCACCCCUGGAUGGAGGAAGAGUACUUCCAGAGAAGAUGCCACAUCUACCUAUGAGACAGAUAAGGCAAGUCAAGACGACACCACACUCCGAUACUUAGAAGUUUCGUGAUUACGAGAUCAUUAUCCCACAAUAUUUCCUAAUGUCAUUUGUACUAAAUCAUUCACUCGUACUCACUAAAGGAGAGCUUGAACCUAUGUACUUGUGUAAACCCUUCACAAUUAAUGAGAACUCUUCUAUUCCGUGGGCGUAGCCAAUCUGGGUGAACCACGUACAUCUUGUGUUUGCUUUCCUAUCUCUAUCCAUUUUAUAUACUUAUCCACACUAAUGACCGGAGCAAUCUAGCGAAGAUCACAAAAAGCGACCGUUUUCGUUACCUAGGAUCUAUCUUGCAAGAGAACGGAGAAUUAGAUGGAGAUCUCAACCAUAGAAUACGAGCUAGAUGGAAAGAGUGCAUCCGGCGUGUUGUGUGACCGUCGUAGGCCACUGAAGCUCAAGGGAAAAUUUUAUAGGACGGCAAUAAGGCCAGCGAUGUUGUAUGGCAGAGAAUGUUGGGUGGUGAAGCAUCAACACGUACACAAAAAUGGGUGUAGCGGAGAUGAGGAUGCUUCGUGGGAUGUGUGGGCACACGAGAAAGGAUAAGAUUGGGAAUGAGGAUAUCCGAGGUAAAGUAGGAGUAGCCGAAAUUGUAGGAAAGAUGAGAGAAAAUCGGCUCUGGUGAUUUGGACAUGUGCAAAGAAGGCCGACUGACGCUCCGGUUCGAAGAUGUGACUACGGGACAGAGGUUCAGGGCCGAAGGGGUAGAGGAAGACCUAGGAAAACUUUGGAAGAGACUCUAAGAAAAGACUUAGAGUACUUGGAUCUAAC